This 253-nucleotide ribosomal RNA is filed under the name uncultured bacterium. Its description in RNAcentral is "partial 16S ribosomal RNA". It matches the Rfam family "Bacterial small subunit ribosomal RNA", at positions 524 to 776 of the family's 1533-position model. The record is from RNAcentral.
UACGUAGGGAGCAAGCGUUGUCCGGAAUCAUUGGGCGUAAAGAGCGCGUAGGCGGUCCGGUAAGUCGGUUGUGAAAACUGGGGGCUCAACCCUCGGAUGCCGGUGGAUACUGUCGGGCUUGAGUACGGAAGAGGCGAGUGGAAUUCCUGGUGUAGCGGUGAAAUGCGCAGAUAUCAGGAGGAACACCAAUUGCGAAGGCAGCUCGCUGGGACGUUACUGACGCUGAGACGCGAAAGCGUGGGGAGCAAACAGG